Long non-coding RNA from Homo sapiens (human), 9373 nucleotides. RefSeq lists it as uncharacterized. NCBI's taxonomy places the organism in Eukaryota, Metazoa, Chordata, Mammalia, Primates, Hominidae. The record is from RefSeq and is a predicted model, not a curated record. The transcript is spliced from 2 exons.
UUAAAUUGGAUCUGCUCAUUUUAUUAUUUUCCUUACUUAUCUAUUAUUUAAUUUUCAUGCUCUAUUGAGGGGUUUUGGUAUGCGUUCUUCUUCUUAGUAACUGUGUUCAUCUGAUAUGUUCAUAAAAAAUGAGAUAUCAUGGUUUAAAUGCAAACCCCAAAAUAUUUCUAAUUAUGUUUAUUUUAUAUUACUAUUAUAUUUUAAUAAUCUGUGUUUAAUUGAUUAUAUGUAUAUGUAUCCACAUGUACAUCAUGAUACAUAAUAAUAAAUUGAACAUGUUUAAAUCCAUAUGUACAUCAUGAUACAUAAUAAUAAUUGAACAUGUUUACACAACAUAAAACCCAGAAUAUUAUCAUCCUCUUUAGUUGUAUAGUCUCUUAUUCCAUCACCCUUCCUCUCUGCUAGAGGUGGCCAAAAUGCUAGAUAUUCAAGUUACCAUUUUUUUUCUUUUUAAAAAUAGUUUUCCCUCACAAAAAUGCUUUGCUAAACAAGUUAUUCUUUAGUUUGCUUACUUUUUAGCAUUAUCAAAUUCAUAUUGCACUGUAUGUAAUCUUCAGCUACUUGGUUUUCUCCAUCAACAUUGUGUUUGUAUGAUUUAUAUGUAUGUUUGCACUUAGAUUUAAUUCAUUUUAUUCAGUUAAAUAUUUUAUGAGGAUGUAUCUCAAUUUCUUCAUUUAGUCUCUGUAGGUGGGUAAAUUAUUAUUUGGAUUAUUCCAGAUGGAUACUAUUAUGAAUAGUGCUGCUGAAUUUUCUUGAACAAGUCUCCUAGUACUUAUGUGUAAGAAUAUCUGUAGGGUCAAUACAGGAGAGUAGAAUUGCUAGAUUGUAGGGUAUUCGCAGUCAGCUUUAUAAAAUGACAAUUGUUUUCCAAAAUAAUCGUAUCAAUUCAGACCUUCACUAGUUAUAUAUGAGCCCACAUUGAUACAUAUUCUGGCCGACAUGUGGAAGUGUUACACUUCUUAAUUAUAGGCAAUCAAAUGGGUGUAAAUGUUACCUCUGCUUGUCACUAAUGAGGGAGACAUCUUGCUGUAUAUUCAUUUACCUUUCUUGUUUCCUCUUCAGUGAAAUUUUUUUGUACAUUUAAAAAAUUGAUUUGUAGGUUAUGUAUUCCUGAUGCUAAUUCAUUUUAGUUAUAUAUGAUGCAAACAUCUUAAUUUUAUUGCAAAGUCAACUUUUCUUUUAAUUAUUAGUAUUGUAGAGUGUUUUCUUUAAGAAAACCUUGGCUAACCUGAGGUUAUACACAUAAUUUAUUUCAUUCUCCAUGAUUCUAAGCUUUGUCUUUUGCAUUUAUGUGUUUAGUCCACGUGCAAGUUAUAUGAGUAUAUAAUUUUAGUCUGCAUUUCAAAUUAUUUUUUCCAAGGAAUUUUUCUAGGGCAUUUAUAAAUUAGUUUGCCUUCCCCUAGUAAACUCCAGUUGUCCAGCUCAAUAUCUAGUAGGCUGAUGUGGUUUGGCUGUGUCCUCACCCAAAUCUCAUCUUGAAUUGUAGCUCCCAUAAUUCCCACGUGUUGUGGGAGGGAUGUGGUGGGAGGUAAUUGAAUCAUGGGGGCGGGUCUUUCCCAUGCUGUUCCCGUAAUAGUAAGUCUCAUGAGAUCUGAUGGUUUUAUAAAGGGGAAUUCCCUUACACAUGUUCUCUUGCUGUCGCUGUGUAAAAUGUGACUUUGCUCCUCCUUUGCCUUCCGUCAUGAUUGUGAGGCCUUCCCAGCCAUGUGGAAGUGUGAGUCAAUUAAACCUCCUUCCUUUAUAAAUUAGCCAGUCUGGGGUAUGUCUUCAUUGGCCAUGUGAGAACAGACUAAAUACAUAGGCUAAGUCCCUCACUAUAUUCUUCUUCAGAAUAAUCUUGAGUAUUCUUAAACUUUUACCUUUUAUCUAAAUUUUAGAUUUGGCAUAUAAUUAUCCAGGAAAAUGUCUACUGGGAUUUUGAUUUGUAUUAUAUUGAUUCAGACCAAAUUGAGAAGAAUUGAUAUCUUUAUUAUAUUUUGUCUUUCUAUUUAUAAAUAGUAUCUCUUAUUUAGCAGUAUUUUAUACCAUUUGAUAAACUUUAAAAAUUUUUUUCAUAAACUUCUUAUACAUCUUUUGUUAGAUAUAAUGCUGGAGCUUCAGUUUAGCUCCUCUUAUUCUUUGUUUGUUUUUGAGACAGCGUCUCACUUCAUUGCCUAGCCUGGAGUGCAGUGGCACAAUCACUGCUUACUGCAGCCUCGACCUGCUGGGCUCAAGCAGCCCUCCCACCUCAGCCUUCCAAGUAGCUGGGACUACAGGCAUGUACCACCACACUUGGCUAUUUUUUAAUUUUUUGUAGAGAUGAGGUCUCCCUAUGUUGCCCAGGCAAGCCUUUAACUACUGGGCUCAAGUGAUCCUACUGCCUUGGCCUCCCAAAGUGCUGGGAUUUCAGGCAUGAGCCACUGCACCCCGCCUGGUUCCUCUUAUUGUGUAGACUUCAGUACAUUUAUGGAUAUUUAUCUCAAUACAACUCUGAAUUUCCUGUUUGCUUAAUACUCAUUGUUCAGGUUUUUUUGUUUACUAUCUUUUAUAAAUAUCUUGACCCUCAAAAAUUUUCUGUUCGUUCUUUCUUUCUUUCUUUCUUUCUUUCUUUCUUUCUUUCUUUCUUUCUUUCUUUCUUUAUAUUUCUUUUUUAUUUCUAUGCUUCGUUUCUUUCUUUAUAUUAUGCUUCUUCAAAUAUCCAAGAUAUUGUUGUAGUGUAGCAGGUAUGUUGGUUGGAAUUUUUGUUACACCAUGUUGCUAGAGGUUGAAACAUUUCAUUGAAAAUAAUAACUGAGGUCAGAUGCAGUGGCUCAUGCCAGUAAUCUCAGCACUUUGGGAGGCCGAGGUGGGAGCUGAGGUCAGGAGUUCAAGAUCAGCCUGGCCAACAGGGUGAAACCCCGUGUUUACUAAAAAUACAAAAAUUAGCUGGGUGUGGUGGCAGGUGCCUGUAAUCCCAGCUACUCCAGAGGCUGAGGCAGGGAGAAUUGCUUGAACUCGGGAGGCAGAGGAUGCAGUGAGCUGAGACCAUGCCACUGCACUCCAGCCUGCGCGAAAGAGCAAGACUCCGUCUCAAAAAAAUAAAAAUAAGUAAAUAAAUAAAUAAAAAUAGUAAUUGAGUAAUUCAUAGGAAGAUAAACUUUCAUUACUGGAAAAUGAAAACAUUAUUAUCUUCAAUUUUGGAGAGAGAAUACCCUUUUUUAUUUAAGUAAAUGUUUGUAAUAAAAACUUAUCUAAUAAAAAUAAGGUGCUAUCUACUGAAGUGAUUAAUAUUCAGGUGACAGUGGAAAAUGAUUCGAUUUAUAUUGAUUUUAUCAGUCUACAUUUUUCUUCUGGAUGUAGGAAGCAGGUAAUUUGGACAUCAUAGUCUCUUAAAAAAGGUUGUGGAAUGAAAUAGUGUGUCUUGCCUUAAUUGGAUUAAAAUAGAAUUCUAUUGAGACUUUCUUUCUUAUUUCUCAUUUGGAAUGGAAGCUCAAGACACCUGGUGCAUUAUUUGAGUCUUGUGAGGGAUCAGUAGAAUAUCUUAAGCACAUGAUGACAGAAUACUGAAGACACAAUGGCUAAUUAAGUGUAGAAUAGUUCAAUUUUAUUUCAGGGAGACAGAUUCAUGUUUGUUUUCAAACUAAAUUCUUUGCUUAACUUCCUUGAUUCCACAAAAAUAUAAAACAUUAUUUCAAAGAGAAAUAUUUUGAGGCUAAUGAAGAACAUAUGCUACAUUGUAUUGUAAAUGAAUGCAAGAUGGCAUUGUUAAUUUGCUUCUAUUUUAGUUGUAGGCUUAUACUCAGGGAGACAUCUGGAUUAAAGGAGCUUUAUUUCUUCUGGGUGGGACACUAAUGUAAUUUUAUAGGUAAAUACAGUGGAAAACAUCAUGAAUAUACAAAUCUAAGGUAGAUGAUAAAAUUUAAUACCAGUUAGGCUUUAUUGAGUGGUUACUAAGUAGCAUUAUCUAAUUAUUUCCCAUAAUAAUACUAUGGUAGAGACACCAUUAUUAGUCUCAUUUUUCAAUGAAGAAACUGGGACUUUGAGAGUUCCUGAAACUUGCCCAAGGAAAUAUAUCUAAUAAGUAAUGUUUGCCAGUGCUUCUUAAACUUUAAUAUGCAUGCAGAUCACCCGUGGCUCUUGUUAAAAUGCAGAUUUUUAUUCAGUAGAUCAGGACAGAGAUAGUACAUUUCUUAUAAGCCACCAAGCAUAAGGUAAUGCUUAUGCUCCUGGUACAAAGACUAUACUUUGAGCAGCAAGAAUGUGAAAUUUGAAUGUGAAUUUGAUUGUGAAAUUCAAAUUCAGGUGUGUCUGGCUUCAAGAUCUACAUUCCUACUUAUUACAUAAAUACAUCCUUUGACCUAAAGAAGUGUAUAAUUAUACAAAGGAAGAAAUGAAGCUAAGUAGUAUUUUGUAAAGUUCUAUUCAUCCAUGCUGAAUAAGCAUUCGAUGAUCUAGAUAAUAGAAUAUUCUGGAAGGCUAUUAAUUUUUCAGUGAAUCCUGUAUCAAUUAACCAUUUUCAAAAGAAUGAUUUAGUGAAAGAAAAUAUAUGGUAUUUAAACAAUUUUCAUUUUUAUUUGAGUUUGGAAAAUUUUAAAACCUUCAUUAUUCUUCAGUAAACAUAAGAUAUCUUUGAAAAUAUAAAUGUAAACACUGUGAAAGAAAAAUAAAUGUAGCUGGUUGUUUUCUUAUAAGCCUACUAAAGAAAUUACUUAACAGUCUUUGAUAAUUCAGGUUUUUGAAAAAAGGAAGUUAAAAAGUGGAGGGUUUUUUGGUGAAAUUAUUGCUUUUUAGUAUCUGCAGUAAUUGUUAUUGUGCAUACAUGAACACAGAUUUUAUGUAUUUGAAGAUUAAAUUGUUAAUCCUAUCUUUUAUAAUAUUUUUGAAUAAAAAGUCAAUUUAACUUAUUGCCUUAUGUGCUAGCUUGUUUUUGUUUAUAUGUUUGACUCUAAACUACUUAUUGCAACUUUAUUUUACACUCAUUUGUGCUUUUGUCUUUUGAUCAGCUCCAUCUACCAGCCUUAUGAAGAGCUGAAAGAUAAAACGAUAUCAAAACCUUUUAGUUGCUAUCUCUUUGAUAGCAAUUUUGCUUUUUUUUUGUUGGGGGUGGGGGCUUGUUACUAUAUAAAAUCAUGUUAUGAUUCUGAUGACUCUUAUGUAUUAGGCCCUUACAGAAACUCUGUGAAGUAGACACAUUAAACAUUUAUACAUUCUUAUUUUAUAAAUGAGGAAAUUCAGAAGACCAAUGUUCUUAUCCAAGACUGUGUAGAUAGCAUGAGGUAGUGGUAGAAUUCAACUUUAUGACUUCUGUCUAAAAUCCAGUUUGUUCCCCUCUAAACCCACAUUCAUAAUUUGAACUAUUUUAUUUCCAAGAUGUGUCUGCUAAAUGACUUUUUUUUCUGACAUUUGCUACGUCUAUAUCUCAGGAACUGGCUCCCUGCAAUGAUUAUAUAACUAAUAUCAUUGGAUUAUUCUUAAGCAAUCUCAAAUCAAACAAUGUUUUGAAGCAAAAAAGAUAUAAUCAUUUAACAUUAUUAUGAACAUACAUUUCAGCUUGAACUAGGCUGAAAUAUCUGCAAGUGUUAAUGAACAAUUUACAGGAGAAAGCUUUUCAACAAAGCAAUCCAACCUCCAAUGCGGCCUUCUGAGAGAUGGAGAUAAAUGAAAUCUGUGGUCUCAUUGUUCACCAACCAGCCCAGCCAAGGGGAUCUACUCAGUAAAUGAAGGUCUCUAGGCAUUUUGCUCAAAGAAAAUAGGAUCAAGGUUAUAAUAAACAAAUUUUUCUGGUGACAUUUUCCAAUUAUGGCAUAUUCUGUCUCCCUCUGGUUGUCCUGGUAACUUUAAUUAAAGCUGCUCCAAUCUAUUUUGAAGCUUUAAAUACUGUAAUAUACUCCAACUCUUAAUUCAACCUUGAUAUUGAGCUUAUGAUUAGAUAACAAAAAAAGGAACAUGACAAAUGUUUUCAAGUGAUUUUUAAAGUAAGUUUUGUUUUUGUUUUCCUGGAAGUGCUAGAUGAUUGUUAUUUAACCAAAUAGUUUUUUUUUUCUUUAACUCUUAGGCCAGUCAUUCUAUAUCAUUUCUAUUUGUCAGCAGUGCCAGUAACAUUUUAGAAAAAUGUAGCUUUCUGGUCUUUAUCUGUAGGGAUUUUAACUAAAAAAUGUGGAAAGAAACUCAAGAAAAAUUAGAUACAAAGAAGUGAGAAGGGGAUCCAGGAAGGAAUUCUGAAAUUCUUUAGAGACUCAAAGAAGAAUACAAAAUUUAUCAUGUUUGGCUAUUAGGGGUCAUUGAUUUACUUUUGUGAGAAUAGAUUCAAUAGAAUAUACUGGAACAGAAUAAAGACUGUAGUGUUAAGGAGUUAUUGGAAAGUGAGACAUUGGCAAGAAAUUUAUCUGGAUUUUCAUGAAGUUUGGUAGGACAGUGAAGGAAAAUGUGGAGUACUACUAAAGAAUGUAUUUCUUUCUUGUCUAUUUUUGAGACUGGAGGACAUAUAAGCAUGCUUAUAGCUAGAAAAGCAGAAAUCCAUGAAAUUUGAAAAUAAGAAAAAAUAGUCUGAAUGUAGAAGGAUGAUUCCAGAAAAAGCAGACAGAGAAGAUCGAGGUCAUGCAAUUUUCUUUGAAAAGAUGGCGGAAUAUUUCACUUGGGACAGAAGGAAUAUUAUUAGAUAUAAAUAAAGACAGUUUUUGUUGAAGAUUUGGGAGAGCAAAGUAAGAAAAGGUGAAAGGAGUCUAUUAUGGGUAAGUAAAAUUACUGAGGAAUAAAAUCUAGGGCCUUCCUAACACUGAGAACAAUCAGAAGAUAUAAAACACCCUCAUGUUCUAAAAAUGAGGCCCAAUAAAAAUGAGGCCCAAGCUACAUAUGAAUUUCAAAGAGCUUUCUGAAAACUCUGUGUGUUUAUGUGGAUAUGCAUAUUUUGACCAUUAAUCCAGAAUCUAUCUGGAGGGUAUAAAUUAUCCAGGCCUUUGAGUCUGAGUGGUGAAGGGAUUAGGUAAUCCACUAAUUGUUUUGCAAAAUUGAGAUUACUUUUAUUUAUUUGGAUUUGAUACAUGCCUGUGGAUGUUAAAAGGGAAGUGCUAAGGCUCGACAUGUUUACCCAGUGACAGGGCAAUGAGACACGGCAUCAAGGGGCACAAACUUACAUAAAAACAAGGCAGUGAGAUGGAGCUGGUCUCAGAUAGGACCCAACAGGGCUUCCCUCCGGGAACAAAACUAGUUUAGCAGAAAGAGGGUAGAAAUACACUGUCAAAUGGGAGCUGAGGGGCUGGGGUUUAAAUGACCCUCAGAAGCAUGACAUUGCAAUUGAAUGUCCUGGGUACCUCCAAACAACUAGGAAAGUAUCUUAAUAAGGGAACAAGUCAGUGUUGAACAUCGAUCAGCCCCAGAGAGUAACAACACAUAAUUAUAGUCAAGAAAAGCCAUCCAUUGCCAACUUUCUCUUAGUGCCAUUGCUGAAAUCACCGUGUUUGAGCUGCUAAGAAGUGUCAAGAUGAAAUCAGGAGGAAAAACUCAGAGAGUGGCCAUAGACCUCUACCACAUUCUCCAUCUGAAGUUUCUUGGUCUGAAGCAGUACUAACCUGUUAGUAGAACAUCAGAAUCAUGUGGAGAUGCCUUGAAAUGUAGUGCAGGUGCCAACUAAGGAGAUGUGCAUGUUUUCUGCUGACAGCGAAAGGCCAAGUAGGGCCUACGACACUGUAUGUUAACAUCUUAUUCAUUGUAUGAGCAGGAAGUGAUGCUUGUAGCCCUUUACACCUUAAUAUAUGGUUUAUAACAUUUGUCCACGCACCUUGGCAUUUGGUGAGUGUCUAUUUUACUGUUUUCUUUAGGUGGUUAAAAGCUGGUUGUGAGGGGUUUAGGUUGAUAUAAAAACGCUCUAUUUUCUUCCACUUAAUAAAUAAUAGGCUAUCAGAAUUUUCACUCAGAACAUCAGGUUUUUCUGAAGCAGAUUACUGCUUAAGUGGGAGAUACCUGUCCUGCUUGAUAUCAUUUGUUAAUGUGGUAAAUGGAAAGCCCCAGAUACACCAUCACAUUUCCUCUCUUACGUUACACACUGGAGCAGCAUCUUUAUGGAUUUUUAAGUCUAAAAUAAUUAUAAUGGUAGGAAUUUGGGGCCAAACAGAAGUGAUGGUGAAACACUAAGUGCUGUGUUUACGACCUCUUGAAUUACACUAAGGAGACAGAUCCAUAUACCUGUAACUGUGCUAUACUCUCUACCGCACUCAGCAUUUUAAUUUUCGUAACAUUUUGUUCUGAUUAAUGUAUUAUUUAAAGGUUAGCAGUGAAGUUUUUUUUUUUUUAAAACAACUCCUUCCUUCCUUCUUCUUUUUUUUUUUUUGGAGUUUGGCUCUUGUUGCCCAGGCUGGAGUGUAAUGGCGCGAUCUUGGCUCACUGCAAACUCCACCUCCCGGGUUCAAAGGAUUCCCCUGCCUCAGCCUCCCGAGUAGCUGGGAUUACAGGCACCCACCACAACACCCAGCUAAUUUUUGUAUUUUUAGUAGAGAUGCGGGUUUCACCAUGUUAGCCAGGCUGGUCUCAAACUCCUGACCUCAAGUGAUCCGCCCACCUCAGCCUCCCAAAGUGCGGGGAUUACAGGCGUGAGCCACCAUGCCCAGCCAACCACACUUUCUGUUUUAAAUCUCUCAGUGCUAGAGAGUGCAUUUUCCUCCCACAUUCCAUGGAGUAGUGUCAGCACUAAAUGAGUAUUUGAACAAAGGCACUUUUGAAAAAAAUGUGGUAAUCAAAUAUACCUUUAAGAUAGAAAGCACAAUUAAUGGUAGAGGGCACCUAAUUAUUUAAUGGAAGGUUCAGACAAGGAAAGGGUUGGGGCAACAGUGAUAGGCUCUGUCUUCUAAAUGAAAUCUCUUGGAAAUGAGAUUCUUUGAGUUGGCUUUAGGAUCAGAAAGCACUAUCUAAUGUAAAAUUUAUGUUCUGGUAAUGCAGCAUGGGGGAAAGGGAGUGUUGGGUUUGUAAUUACUUUGAGCAAAAUGAGAAUUAGCUCAAGUGGCUUGCAAAACUCACACAGGCAAAAACUACACAAUUUGUAGAGCCUAGUACAAAAUGUAAAUUUGAGGCUCUUGUUAAGAAAUUAUUAGAAUUUCAAAAUGGCAGCAUCAGAGAAUGAAACCAAACAUGGGGUCCUUCUGAAUGUGGAGUCCUCACUGAGUCAGUCAGCCUCGUCUGACUGCACAGGUCUCACACCCACCAAAGCUGGCUGGUCCUGCGCAUAGGUCGUUAGUGGUAGAGCUAGAACCAGAACUUGGGAUUCUCAGCUACUUGUACAGUGUUCUUUCUAUGAUGAUAGUCAUCAAACUUUACUUGGGGACUUGAGAGUCUGUGAAAUCCUUGAUGAUUGUUGAAAGAUAAUCCCAAAGUGAGGCAAAAAAAGAAAAAAAUCCGUAUGUCAUUUCACCUCUUUUUUUUUUUU